RNAcentral lists this ribosomal RNA (451 nucleotides) under uncultured bacterium. RNAcentral's name for it is "partial 16S ribosomal RNA". It matches the Rfam family "Bacterial small subunit ribosomal RNA", at positions 29 to 523 of the family's 1533-position model. The record is from RNAcentral.
AACGAACGCUGGCGGCAGGCUUAACACAUGCAAGUCGAACGAACAUAGCAAUAUGUUAGUGGCAGACGGGUGAGUAACGCGUGGGAAUGUGCCCUAUGGUUUGGAAUAACUCUGGGAAACUUGAGCUAAUACCGGAUAAUCCCGAGAGGGGAAAGAUUUAUCGCCAUUGGAGCAGCCCGCGUCUGAUUAGCUAGUUGGUGAGGUAAAGGCUCACCAAGGCGACGAUCAGUAGCUGGUCUGAGAGGAUGAUCAGCCACACUGGGACUGAGACACGGCCCAGACUCCUACGGGAGGCAGCAGUGGGGAAUAUUGGACAAUGGGGGCAACCCUGAUCCAGCCAUGCCGCGUGAGUGAUGAAGGCCUUAGGGUUGUAAAACUCUUUUAUCCGGGAAGAUAAUGACUGUACCGGAAGAAUAAGCCCCGGCUAACUUCGUGCCAGCAGCCGCCGUAA